RNAcentral lists this ribosomal RNA (346 nucleotides) under Coelidia sp. LH184. RNAcentral describes it as "partial large subunit ribosomal RNA". The record is from RNAcentral. Lineage: Eukaryota; Metazoa; Arthropoda; Insecta; Hemiptera; Cicadellidae.
UGCCCAAUGAUAAUUAUUAAAUGGCUGCAGUAAUUUGACUGUGCAAAGGUAGCAUAAUAAUUAGUUUUUUAAUUGAGGACUUGUAUGAAAGGAAAAAUGAAAGAUUUUUUUUAUUGUUUUUAUUAUUAAAAUUUUAUUUGUUGGUAAAAAAGCUAAUAAGUAUUUUAGGGACGAGAAGACCCUAUAGAAUUUAAAAUUUAAAUGUUGAUUAUUUGUUUAGUUUUAAAGAUUUAUUAAUUUAUAUAAUUUUUUAUUGGGGUGAUUAAUAAAUUUAUAUAUCUUUAUUUUUUUGUUUCAUUAAUUUAUGAUUAUUUGAUCCUUUUUAAAGAUUGAAAGAUAAAUUACC